CCAGCAGCUGCGGUAAUUCCAGCUCCACGAGUGUAUAUUUAUGUUGUUGCGGUUAAAAAGUUCGUAGUCGAAGCUUUGUCGUGUUCGCGGGAGAGUGUCGAAAAAUUCGAUGCUGCUCGCACACUUCAUGCCGGGCGGAUAUGGGUGCGGUGGGAUUAACUUCUCGUCGUAACCAGCCGUCCAUAGCCCUGUGAUUAACUCAGAGCGUUCAAAGCAGGCUCUUGGGCCGUUGAAUGUCAAAGCAUGGGAUGCUGGAAAAGGACGAGUUUCCUUUUGCUGGUUCAAGCGAAAUUCGUAAUGAUUAAUGGAAACGAUCGGGGACAUGCGUAUUCGGUAGUGAGAGGUGAAAUUCUAUGAUCUACUGAAGACGAUCUACUGCGGAAGCAUUUGUCCAGGGCGUGUUCGUCGAUCAAGAACGAAAGU
RNAcentral lists this ribosomal RNA (423 nucleotides) under uncultured eukaryote. RNAcentral's name for it is "SSU rRNA". It matches the Rfam family "Eukaryotic small subunit ribosomal RNA", at positions 567 to 990 of the family's 1831-position model. The record is from RNAcentral.